RNAcentral lists this ribosomal RNA (3028 nucleotides) under Salmonella enterica subsp. enterica serovar Fresno str. ST224. RNAcentral describes it as "bacterial LSU rRNA". It matches the Rfam family "Bacterial large subunit ribosomal RNA". Lineage: Bacteria; Pseudomonadati; Pseudomonadota; Gammaproteobacteria; Enterobacterales; Enterobacteriaceae. The record is from RNAcentral.
GGGUUGUGAGGUUAAGCGACUAAGCGUACACGGUGGAUGCCCUGGCAGUCAGAGGCGAUGAAGGGCGUGCUAAUCUGCGAUAAGCGCCGGUAAGGUGAUAUGAACCGUUAUAACCGGCGAUACCCGAAUGGGGAAACCCAGUGUGACUCGUCACACUAUCAUUAACUGAAUCCAUAGGUUAAUGAGGCGAACCGGGGGAACUGAAACAUCUAAGUACCCCGAGGAAAAGAAAUCAACCGAGAUUCCCCCAGUAGCGGCGAGCGAACGGGGAGGAGCCCAGAGCCUGAAUCAGCAUGUGUGUUAGUGGAAGCGUCUGGAAAGGCGCGCGAUACAGGGUGACAGCCCCGUACACAAAAGCGCAUGUGCUGUGAGCUCGAUGAGUAGGGCGGGACACGUGGUAUCCUGUCUGAAUAUGGGGGGACCAUCCUCCAAGGCUAAAUACUCCUGACUGACCGAUAGUGAACCAGUACCGUGAGGGAAAGGCGAAAAGAACCCCGGCGAGGGGAGUGAAAAAGAACCUGAAACCGUGUACGUACAAGCAGUGGGAGCCCCACCACCAAAGCAUUCUCUGGUGUUGAAGGCCCUGCAAAGCAGCAUCGCGGUGGCGGAGCGUCGUUUGCGACGCCCAACACACAAAACAAGCGGUGAGUGCUUUGGGGUGGGGUGACUGCGUACCUUUUGUAUAAUGGGUCAGCGACUUAUAUUCUGUAGCAAGGUUAACCGAAUAGGGGAGCCGGAGGGAAACCGAGUCUUAAUUGGGCGUUAAGUUGCAGGGUAUAGACCCGAAACCCGGUGAUCUAGCCAUGGGCAGGUUGAAGGUUGGGUAACACUAACUGGAGGACCGAACCGACUAAUGUUGAAAAAUUAGCGGAUGACCUGUGGCUGGGGGUGAAAGGCCAAUCAAACCGGGAGAUAGCUGGUUCUCCCCGAAAGCUAUUUAGGUAGCGCCUCGUGAAUUCAUCUCCGGGGGUAGAGCACUGUUUCGGCUAGGGGGCCAUCCCGGCUUACCAACCCGAUGCAAACUGCGAAUACCGGAGAAUGUUAUCACGGGAGACACACGGCGGGUGCUAACGUCCGUCGUGAAGAGGGAAACAACCCAGACCGCCAGCUAAGGUCCCAAAGUCAUGGUUAAGUGGGAAACGAUGUGGGAAGGCCCAGACAGCCAGGAUGUUGGCUUAGAAGCAGCCAUCAUUUAAAGAAAGCGUAAUAGCUCACUGGUCGAGUCGGCCUGCGCGGAAGAUGUAACGGGGCUAAACCAUGCACCGAAGCUGCGGCAGCGACACUGUGUGUUGUUGGGUAGGGGAGCGUUCUGUAAGCCUGUGAAGGUGUGUCGUGAGGCAUGCUGGAGGUAUCAGAAGUGCGAAUGCUGACAUAAGUAACGAUAAAGCGGGUGAAAAGCCCGCUCGCCGGAAGACCAAGGGUUCCUGUCCAACGUUAAUCGGGGCAGGGUGAGUCGACCCCUAAGGCGAGGCCGAAAGGCGUAGUCGAUGGGAAACGGGUUAAUAUUCCCGUACUUGGUGUUACUGCGAAGGGGGGACGGAGAAGGCUAUGUUGGCCGGGCGACGGUUGUCCCGGUUUAAGCGUGUAGGUGUGUGUUCCAGGUAAAUCCGGUUCACUUUAACACUGAGGCGUGAUGACGAGGCACUACGGUGCUGAAGCAACAAAUGCCCUGCUUCCAGGAAAAGCCUCUAAGCAUCAGGUAACAUCAAAUCGUACCCCAAACCGACACAGGUGGUCAGGUAGAGAAUACCAAGGCGCUUGAGAGAACUCGGGUGAAGGAACUAGGCAAAAUGGUGCCGUAACUUCGGGAGAAGGCACGCUGACAUGUAGGUGAAGUGAUUUACUCAUGGAGCUGAAGUCAGUCGAAGAUACCAGCUGGCUGCAACUGUUUAUUAAAAACACAGCACUGUGCAAACACGAAAGUGGACGUAUACGGUGUGACGCCUGCCCGGUGCCGGAAGGUUAAUUGAUGGGGUCAGCGCAAGCGAAGCUCCUGAUCGAAGCCCCGGUAAACGGCGGCCGUAACUAUAACGGUCCUAAGGUAGCGAAAUUCCUUGUCGGGUAAGUUCCGACCUGCACGAAUGGCGUAAUGAUGGCCAGGCUGUCUCCACCCGAGACUCAGUGAAAUUGAACUCGCUGUGAAGAUGCAGUGUACCCGCGGCAAGACGGAAAGACCCCGUGAACCUUUACUAUAGCUUGACACUGAACAUUGAGCCUUGAUGUGUAGGAUAGGUGGGAGGCUUUGAAGUGUGGACGCCAGUCUGCAUGGAGCCGACCUUGAAAUACCACCCUUUAAUGUUUGAUGUUCUAACGUGGACCCGUAAUCCGGGUUGCGGACAGUGUCUGGUGGGUAGUUUGACUGGGGCGGUCUCCUCCUAAAGAGUAACGGAGGAGCACGAAGGUUGGCUAAUCCUGGUCGGACAUCAGGAGGUUAGUGCAAUGGCAUAAGCCAGCUUGACUGCGAGCGUGACGGCGCGAGCAGGUGCGAAAGCAGGUCAUAGUGAUCCGGUGGUUCUGAAUGGAAGGGCCAUCGCUCAACGGAUAAAAGGUACUCCGGGGAUAACAGGCUGAUACCGCCCAAGAGUUCAUAUCGACGGCGGUGUUUGGCACCUCGAUGUCGGCUCAUCACAUCCUGGGGCUGAAGUAGGUCCCAAGGGUAUGGCUGUUCGCCAUUUAAAGUGGUACGCGAGCUGGGUUUAGAACGUCGUGAGACAGUUCGGUCCCUAUCUGCCGUGGGCGCUGGAGAACUGAGGGGGGCUGCUCCUAGUACGAGAGGACCGGAGUGGACGCAUCACUGGUGUUCGGGUUGUCAUGCCAAUGGCACUGCCCGGUAGCUAAAUGCGGAAGAGAUAAGUGCUGAAAGCAUCUAAGCACGAAACUUGCCCCGAGAUGAGUUCUCCCUGAGACUUAGAGUCUCCUGAAGGAACGUUGAAGACGACGACGUUGAUAGGCCGGGUGUGUAAGCGCAGCGAUGCGUUGAGCUAACCGGUACUAAUGAACCGUGAGGCUUAACCUUACAACGCCGAAG